UCAGCACCACAUAGAAACAAAAAUGCUGUGCCCGCCGAGAACUAAAAAAUAAAUAUUUUUUAAAAAAAAUGUGUGGCCAAACAGAGGGGCAAGGGCGUGGAGGGCUGGAUCUGCAGGGCCAGGGUAAGGAUGUCGGCCUUGACCCAGGUGGAACCCAGAGCCACCGCAGCGCUGUGAGCAGAAAGCAGGAGCUGAGCUCUAGAUACAAAAGUCACUCUGGGGGCUGCCUGGGGGAGUCACUGAAGGCCGAGAUGAAGGUGAACAAAGGUCAGGGCCUCCACAGAUUUAGACAAUGACACAGCAUGUGUGACGGUGAACUCAAGCAUGAUACCCCAAGUUCGUGGCCUGGGAGACGGGUGUUUGGGUCAAGGGGAUGCGUSUGGAAGGGCAGGGAAGCCCACCAUUCACACCCUUAUCCAUUCCUGAGGGCCUAGGAAGGGAGGGAGGAAGGAAAGGUCAUACCGAAAUUCUCAGAAGUCAAAGGAGGGUGGGCCAUUCUGAGUCAUCUACUUUUUAAGUGAAAGAUGAAUGGUUUGGAGUUAUAGAGAAAUCUGUGAAGAAAUCAUUCUACACUUCCUGGCUUAGAGGCCAGUUUUGCCACUUGUUCUCCUGAGCCAAUCGGUUUCCUUCCAAGAGUGAAAGGGAACUUCCCCUCAAACUAAUGUCCCUUCAGAAGGCCCUGCAGUGCCAGGAACCUUCAGCAACCGCCAGCUCCAGGCAGGGGCCUCACGCAGGGUUCCAACUAGGUUUUAUUUUAGUUUCCAAUAUUAUCAGCAAUGAUACAGGAGGAAUUCAGGCAAAUACAACACCUUAAAUACAUUCGAGAAAACUCGCUGGGUCGAGCUCGCCUUGCGCUCCAGAAACGAACAUGAACUAGAACAAGGUUAGCAGCAUCUAGUUAAAGUGCCUCUGCCACACUUCCUUCAGAAAUCGUCUCCCCUCGGUGGUGUGAAUUUAAUUUUACUUAUUGUAUAAGAAGCUCAAAAUUUCAUUUAUCCCCCAGGGGCUACACUGAAAAAAAGUUUUGUUUUUUUUU
Molecule: non-coding RNA, 1036 nt
Organism: Urocitellus parryii (Arctic ground squirrel)
Lineage: Eukaryota; Metazoa; Chordata; Mammalia; Rodentia; Sciuridae
Source: RefSeq, a predicted model, not a curated record